RNAcentral lists this small RNA (5539 nucleotides) under Pan troglodytes (chimpanzee). Its description in RNAcentral is "retained intron". Lineage: Eukaryota; Metazoa; Chordata; Mammalia; Primates; Hominidae. The record is from RNAcentral.
AAAUACAAAACUUAACUGAGCGUGACGGCAUGUGCCUGUAAUUCCAGCUACUCUGGAGGCAGAGGCAGGAGAAUUGCUUGAAUUCUGGGAGGUGGAGUCUCCCAGAGAUCCGAGAUUGGGCUACUGCACUUGAGCCUGGUUGACAGAGUGAGACUCUGUCUCAAAAAAAAAAAAAAAAAAGUUUUCAUUACAAAUUGUUGAAGCAGAAGGAUAUUUAAGAAUGUAUACGGAAUGGAGACAUCUUUCUCUUUUUCACGUAACAAUUCAUCAUAGAGAUUGUUUCUUCAUAGAGUUCAUUUUUUUAAAUUGUUCCAAAGUGUUUAGUGAUGGGUAUUUAGGUUGUUUCUGAUCUUCUGAUACAGACAAUGUUGACUUUUUACCUUUCCAAGCUACUUUGUUUUAGUUGGGUCUCUUAACCUCAGAAUGUAAUUUGAUUUUGUUUUUGUUUUUAACUGAGAGACUUUUAGUAGUUGAAUUUCCCAUUUGUAUUUGCUGAUAAUUUUAGUAAUAGCAACUCACUUCCAUUGAACACGUCUGUGUAUCCAGUACUGCUCUAAGCACAUUAUUUAGACUGCCUUUAAUCUUUCCAACUCUCUGAGUGGGGUACUAAUUACCUGCACUUUACCCAUAGGAGACUCAGGGAGAGAGGAAAUAGCUUACCAAGCCUAGUAAAGUGGAAGGCUGGGAUUUGAUCCCAGUCAGUUUGACUUCACAUCUCUUAAUCGGACUGGUAUGGCAUGCUACUAUGUGACAGAUAUGUUUGGUCUUAAUUUAACUAUUUUUUUUAAAUGUUAUGCUUCAUGUUUUUAAUGUAUUUUAUUUAUGUAUUAGUAUUUUUUAACUGAAGACUUGUUUUUCUCUUUGCUUUGUAUUGGGUGUGUGUUCUUGGUAAUAAUUAAAAGGACUCAUGUUUGCAUAUUUUAGUAUAAUUUGAUAUAUUUACCCUGUAUUUGUUUAGGGGUAACUAUCUCCUUCCUGCUGUAAUCAGUGACCAGGUUGGUAUUGCCACAUGUUCUUGCCUCCCCUUCCUUCUCUCCACCACCUGCUUUUGAUUAAUGAUGUUACUAAACUUAUUCCAGUGUUAACAUUUAUAACUUUAUGUUUACUAAUGCCUCUGAUACUUUAUCAGUUUUAAAUAAUAUCUUUUGAUUUCACUGUAAGAGGCAAGUGUCUUUACACUCUCUCCUUCUUUCCUUGUGCACUGCUCAACUUGAUAACAUUUUUUUCCAUUAAAAUUUAUAACAUUUACAUUCUGUUCUUAAUUCCCAGAAAAUAAAAGUCUUUUUUUUUUUUUUUUUUGAGACAGAGUCUCACUCCAUCGCCCAGGCUGGAAUGCAGUGGUGCGAUCUCAGCUCACUGCAACCUCCGCCUCCCACGUUCAAGCAAUUCUCCUGCCUCAACCUCCCAAGUAGCUGGGACUACAGGUGCACACCACCAUGCCUGGCUAAUUUUUGUAUUUUUAGUAGAGAUGGGGUUUCCCCAUGUUGGCCAGGCUGGUCUCAAACUCCUGACCUCAGGUGAUCUGCCCGCCUCGGCCUCCCAAAGUGCUGGGAUUACAGGCAUGAGCCACCGUGCCCGGCCAAAGAAAAGUCUUUAUUCCUACGUCUUAAAUGGCUUCAUUGCUCACCGUAAGUCUUUUGCUGGACUUUCUGCAUUCUUCUUGAGUGGAUAAAGUUUAUCCUCUAAUAGUUCAUGAACCCAUACAUUUUGGCUCAUGGGAAUGAAAUUUUCCAAGUUCUUGUAUGUUUAAGGAUAUAUAUUUUUUCUCCUUAGUAUUUUAUUUUAUUGUUUUUUUUUAAUUGACACAUAAUGUGCAUAUUUAUGGGGUAUAGAGUGAAGUUUUGAUACAUAUAAUGUGUGGUUAUCAGAUCAGGGUAAUUAGCAUAUCCAUCAUCUCAAAUAUUAGAUAUUUUGAUUUUGUAACAUACUUGAUUGACACUGUGGCCAGAUAUAGAAUUCUUGGGUCGUACCUUCUUCCCUUGAAGACUCUAAGUGUGGCCCCAUGUGUCCUAGUGUUAAAUGUAGCCGUGUUGAAGGCUGAGGCUGAUUGUACUUUCCCUGUUGUAGGGGUGUAUUAGUCUACUCGGCUGCUAUAAUUUUGUUUAUACCACAGGUUGGGUGGCUUAAACAGCAGACAGUUCGUUGUUUUCUCACAGUUCUGGAGGUUAGAAGUCCAAGAUCGAGGUGCCGUCGGGGUUGGCUCCUGGCGCAGCCCUCUUCCUGGCUUGUAUGUGGUCACCUUUCCUGCUGUGUCCUCACAUGCCUUUCCCCUGUGUGAGCGUAGAGUGGGGAGAGAAUAGGAGAGAGAGGUUGAUUUCUGGUGUCUCUUCCUUUUCUUAGAAGACCUUCCUCCAGUCCUAUCAAAUUAGGGCCCCGCCCCUAUGACCUCAGGUAAUCGUGAUGACCUCUUGAAAGGCCCUAUUUCCAAUUAUAGUACACUGGGAGUUAGGGCUUUAAUGUAUGAACUGGGGGUAGGGGGAGCACAGUUCAUUCAUAAUAAAGGGUAAUGUAUACGUUUUGCCCAAAGGUCCAGAGACUUUUUAUUUUUUCAGUUUUAAAUACGAGAUAUAGACCCAUAUUUGUUGACAAGGAAAAAUGUUCAUAGUAUAUUGUUGAAUGAGAAAAAUCAAGUUUAUUUAUUCUUUUUCUGUUUCUGUUGUCUGUCAUUUCCUCCUGUUUGAUGAUGGUUAUUGUUUUAAAAUAGAUACUUGGAUUCUUGGAAAUGUCUUUGGAAAUUCUUGGGAAUUUUUAUCUGCUUUGUUUCAAUAUUUUUCCAGAUAUUUUUUUUUUCGUUCUUUCUGGAGACAGGAUCUUGCUCUGUCACCCAGGUUUGGAGUGCAGUGGCACAAUCUUGGUUCAUGUAGCCUUCACCUCCGAGGCUCAAGUGGUCCUACCUCAACCCCCUAGUAGCUGGGAUCACAGGCAUGUGCGACCACACUUGGCUGACUUUUAAAUUUUUUCAUAGAGGUGGGGUCUCCCAAUAUUGCCCAGGCUGGUCUCAAACUCCUGGACUCAAGUGAUCCUCCCUCCUCAGCCUCCUAAAGUGCUAGGAUUAUGGGCGUGAGCUACCACGCCUGCCCCUAGAUAUGUGUUUUUGUCUGCCAUUUGUUUUUUCCUCUUUCUCUGUCCCUUUUCUUUUUCUUUGAGUGUUUUUAUAUCACUGUUGGCUGGCUUCUUUGUGCCCCUUACUCGUCUCCGAAUGAGCAGAGUUCUUCUGGACUAAUGGCGUGUGGGUAGGCUGGGGAGGUCCUGGGCAGUGUCUGGGGGAAGCUGUGAUCUGCCCUGGACUCUUCCCUUGCCGCUGGACUGCAAGGGUGCUUGGCCUAACCUUGCCUGCUCUGCCACCCUGUGGCUCCUCACACCGGCCUGACCUGAGCAAGGGCUUGCUGCUCCUCUGGCUCUCCUUUGCUGAGACCUGAAGUCACCGGUUCGCCUUUGAUGUCCUCACUCGUCUUGGUUGUGUUUUCAUAGCCCUUGGCAACUUGCUUCUGGGAUAUUCAGUUUCAGGGUGUUUAGGUGUUACGUUAUUGAAGAUAGAGUUUCUUUUUCUGUAACUUGUUCUAAUUUGGGUGGGUAAUAAGAACAGAGGCCUUCAGAGAAGUAUUUACUCUGACGUCUUAAAGCUUUUAAGGCCCACGGCCAGAUUUCUUUAAUACACUUUGGGCAUCUUCUGUCUGUAAAAUCAGGGAAUUGUAUAAUGUCCUCGCUAACAUACUUUCAGGUUAACCUGUUUAUGGUUCUGAUGUAUUUACAUGAAAUUUGGGUAAACACUAAAUAUAGUGAAUGUUUUCUUACAGACAGAACCUCCACUCAAUACACCAGAAAACAGAGAGUAUCUUGCAGAAAUUAUGUUUGAAUCAUUUAACGUACCAGGACUCUACAUUGCAGUUCAGUGCUGGCCUUGGCGGCAUCUUGGACAUCUCGACAAGUGGGUGAACGUACGUUAACGGGGAUAGUCAUUGACAGCGGAGAUGGAGUCACCCAUGUUAUCCCAGUGGCAGAAGGUUAUGUAAUUGGAAGCUGCAUCAAACACAUCCCGAUUGCAGGUAGAGAUAUUACGUAUUUCAUUCAACAGCUGCUAAGGGAGAGGGAGGUGGGAAUCCCUCCUGAGCAGUCACUGGAGACCGCAAAAGCCAUUAAGGAGAAAUACUGUUACAUUUGCCCCGAUAUAGUCAAGGAAUUUGCCAAGUAUGAUGUGGAUCCCCGGAAGUGGAUCAAACAGUACACGGGUAUCAAUGCGAUCAACCAGAAGAAGUUUGUUAUAGACGUUGGUUACGAAAGAUUCCUGGGACCUGAAAUAUUCUUUCACCCGGAGUUUGCCAACCCAGACUUUAUGGAGUCCAUCUCAGAUGUUGUUGAUGAAGUAAUACAGAACUGCCCCAUCGAUGUGCGGCGCCCGCUGUAUAAGAAUGUCGUACUCUCAGGAGGCUCCACCAUGUUCAGGGAUUUCGGACGCCGACUGCAGAGGGAUUUGAAGAGAGUGGUGGAUGCUAGGCUGAGGCUCAGCGAGGAGCUCAGUGGCGGGAGGAUCAAGCCGAAGCCUGUGGAGGUCCAGGUGGUCACGCAUCACAUGCAGCGCUACGCCGUGUGGUUUGGAGGCUCCAUGCUGGCCUCGACUCCCGAGUUCUUUCAGGUCUGCCACACCAAGAAGGACUAUGAAGAGUACGGGCCCAGCAUCUGCCGCCACAACCCCGUCUUUGGAGUCAUGUCCUAGUGUCUGCCUGAACGCGUCGUUCGAUGGUGUCACGUUGGGGAACAAGUGUCCUUCAGAACCCAGAGAAGGCCGCCGUUCUGUAAAUAGCGACGUCGGUGUUGCUGCCCAGCAGCGUGCUUGCAUUGCCGGUGCAUGAGGCGCGGCGCGGGCCCUUCAGUAAAAGCCAUUUAUCCGUGUGCCGAGCGCUGUCUGCCAGCCUCCUCCUUCUUCCGCCCUCCUCACCCUCGCUCUCCCUCCUCCUCCUCCUCCGAGCUGCUAGCUGACAAAUACAAUUCUGAAGGAAUCCAAAUGUGACUUCGAAAAUUGUUAGAGAAGACAACAUUAGAAAAUGGCGCAAAUCGUUAGGUCCCAGGAGAGAAUGUGGGGGCGCAAACCCUUUUCCUCCCAGCCUCCCAGCCUAUUUUUGUAAAUAAAAUGUUUAAACUUGAAAUACAAAUCGAUGUUUAUAUUUCCUAUCAUUUUGUAUUUUAUGGUAUUUGGUACAACUGGCUGAUACUAAGCACGAAUAGAUAUUGAUGUCAUGGAGUGCUGUAAUCCAAAGUUUUUAAUUGUGAGGCAUGUUCUGGUAUGUUUAUAGGCAAACAAAUAAAACAGCAAACUUUUUUGCCACAUGUUUGCUAGAAAAUGAUUAUACUUUAUUGGAGUGACAUGAAGUUUGAACACUAAACAGUAAUGUAUGAGAAUUACUACAGAUACAUGUAUCUUUUAGUUUUUUUUGUUUGAACUUUCUGGAGCUGUUUUAUAGAAGAUGAUGGUUUGUUGUCGGUGAGUGUUGGAUGAAAUACUUCCUUGCACCAUUGUAAUAAAAGCUGUUAGAAUAUUUAU